GUGCUCGGCUUUGGCAGCACAUGUCUUAAAACUGGAACGAUACAGAGAAGAUUAGCUGGCUCCCUGUGCAAGGAUGACAAGUAAAUUUGUGAAGUGUUCCAUGUUAAA
This 108-nucleotide small nuclear RNA is filed under the name Carlito syrichta (Philippine tarsier). Lineage: Eukaryota; Metazoa; Chordata; Mammalia; Primates; Tarsiidae. The record is from RNAcentral.